Molecule: ribosomal RNA, 303 nt
Filed under: uncultured bacterium
Lineage: Bacteria
Description: bacterial SSU rRNA
Rfam family: Bacterial small subunit ribosomal RNA
Source: RNAcentral
AAUCAACGCUGACGGCGUGCCUCAGACAUGCAAGUCGAACGCGAAAGUUCCCUUCGGGGAGCGAGUAGAGUGGCGCACGGGUGAGUAACACGUAGGUAAUUUGCCUUUGGGUGGGGAAUAACUCAGGGAAACUUGAGCUAACACCGCAUAAUGCAGCGGCUCGACAUCGAGACAGUUGUUAAAGCGGGGAUUCGCAAGAACCUCGCGCCUAAAGAGAAGCCUGCGGCAGAUUAGCUAGUUGGUAAGGUAAUGCUUACCAAGGCGACGAUNUGUAACCGGCCUGAGAGGGCGGUCGGUCACACU